GUCCAAGUAAUUUAAUAAAAAUAUUGGCCUUGUAAGCCAACAAUAAAGGAAAAAUCCUUCCUAGGACC
Molecule: transfer RNA, 68 nt
Filed under: Monodelphis domestica (gray short-tailed opossum)
Lineage: Eukaryota; Metazoa; Chordata; Mammalia; Didelphimorphia; Didelphidae
Rfam family: tRNA
About the family: Transfer RNA (tRNA) molecules are approximately 80 nucleotides in length. Their secondary structure includes four short double-helical elements and three loops (D, anti-codon, and T loops).
Source: Rfam by way of RNAcentral